RNAcentral lists this ribosomal RNA (110 nucleotides) under uncultured bacterium. Its description in RNAcentral is "partial 16S ribosomal RNA". It matches the Rfam family "Bacterial small subunit ribosomal RNA", at positions 1373 to 1482 of the family's 1533-position model. The record is from RNAcentral.
CCCGGGCCUUGUACACACCGCCCGUCACACCAUGGGAGUGGGUUGUACCAGAAGUCGAUAGCUUAACCGAAAGGGGGGCGUCGACCACGGUAUGGUUCAUGACUGGGGUG